Molecule: long non-coding RNA, 867 nt
Organism: Helianthus annuus (common sunflower)
Lineage: Eukaryota; Viridiplantae; Streptophyta; Magnoliopsida; Asterales; Asteraceae
Exons: 5
Source: RefSeq, a predicted model, not a curated record
AACCGGGUAUAUUCGGUACCGGUACCGGUUCCCACUUUUGAGGAUUUUUUGUACCGGUACUUUCGGUUCCGGUACCGAGCUCAUCCCUAUCUCAGACUCCGAGAUCUGUUGAGAAGUCAGCAAGAGAUAUUCGACAUGUAGAAGGAAAUAUUAGUGGUAAAUAUGAUAAAGAAAAAGGGGUAAAUGUUCAGGUUGUUGUGAGAUGCAGACCGCUGAAUGCUGAUGAGGAAAAACUACACACACCAGUGGUGGUUACAUGUGCAGAAAACAAGAGGGAAGUAUGUGCAGUUCAAAACAUAGCUAACAAGCAGAUUGAUAGAUCAUUUGUGUUUGAUAAGGUAUUCAGUCCAAAAUCCCAACAAAGAGACUUGUAUCAUUCAGCAGUGUCUCCCAUGGUUUUUGAAGUUCUCGAGGGCUACAACUGCACUAUAUUUGCAUACACCCAAACGGGAACCGGAAAAACAUACACAAUGGAAGGAGGGAGGAAAGAGAACGGGAAUUCCCAAGUGAUGCAGGUGUGAUUCCGAGGGCUGUUAGGCAAAUAUUUGACAUAUUAGAAGCUCAAAAUGCAGAAUACAAUAUGAAAGUUACGUUUCUAGAGCUGUACAAUGAGGAAAUAACCGAUCUUUUAGCUCCCGAAGAAGCUUCAAAGUUUCCAGAAGAUAAGCCUAAGUAACCGAUAGCGUUAAUGGAAGAUGGAAAGGGUGGUGUACUUGUUAGAGGCUUAGAAGAGGAGAUAGUUUCUACUGCUGAUGAAAUAUACAGAAUAUUGGAAAAGGGUUCUGCUAAAAUUUUCACAUGAACUGCUAUUACGAAUUCUUAUUCAUUUUUCCCAACGACCAUUGUUAGAUCAUCCAAAUAUGAAGG